Long non-coding RNA from Diceros bicornis minor, 539 nucleotides. RefSeq lists it as uncharacterized. The record is from RefSeq and is a predicted model, not a curated record. Lineage: Eukaryota; Metazoa; Chordata; Mammalia; Perissodactyla; Rhinocerotidae. The transcript is spliced from 3 exons.
AUGAACUUAUAGAAAGUGAGAAUGUUUACAAAUAAUACACGUAAUUCACUGUCCUUUCACUGAAUUUCACACAAACUUGUAAGUCUCAGAUGUCAAAGCAUGUGAUUCUUGAAGUGCUACAAUCCAUACUCCGCUCGUAGAAAGCAGAGAGGCUGUUUGGAUGGAAGAUGUGAUGUUUAUUUACUCUACUCUUGGAUCAUGUUGUGACUCUAAACCUCAUUCCUAGGCAUGUGCUCUGUAUGAUUAAAAGAAGUACUUGGAAUAAAUUCCAAUGCUUUGGCAGCUCGAGAGAAAGCGACAGUGUUCUGUGCAUCUUGGACACGAGAAUUUAAAGAAAUUGAAAAUCUGAAUGAGGAUGAAUUUCAAUAGGAGACAAGCAGAGUUUUUUUCUUUUUGAGUAUGCAGAACAGUACCUGGAAUGUAAUAAGCACUCACUAAUAUUUGCUAAAUCAGUGAAUGAUGCGGAGGAUAUGGAGAGUUGUAGCAGGUGUAACAGCAUCUAAAUGAGGUAAGUGUGUGGAUGUGCUCCAGGAUUUCCA